UUAAAUUCUUAGAUAAGGAAGAGUAGCUAUAAAGUAUAGUUUUAGAGAGUCGAUGAUGGUGGAAAUUCGAUACGAUGGCUUGUAGUGAAUGGACCUUGGAGAAACAAACCGAAACCUUUAAUUGUAAGGUAGUAGUAUUUGGCGGAAGCCCUCCGUUAUAGGGGAUAGGAUAUGUUGGUAUCUGAAAAAGAGUGAUACUUUUAUAAGUAUAAUUUAGGUGGCACCGCGGAGUAACUUCGCCCUAUUG
Molecule: non-coding RNA, 247 nt
Filed under: Clostridium cellulovorans
Lineage: Bacteria; Bacillati; Bacillota; Clostridia; Eubacteriales; Clostridiaceae
Description: T-box sequence
Rfam family: T-box leader
About the family: Uncharged tRNA acts as the effector for transcription antitermination of genes in the T-box leader family.
Source: RNAcentral